This 406-nucleotide ribosomal RNA is filed under the name uncultured bacterium. RNAcentral describes it as "partial 16S ribosomal RNA". It matches the Rfam family "Bacterial small subunit ribosomal RNA", at positions 30 to 526 of the family's 1533-position model. The record is from RNAcentral.
AUUGAACGCUGGCGGCAGGCCUAACACAUGCAAGUCGAACGAGUGGCGGACGGGUGAGUAAUGUCUGGGAAAAUGCCUGAUGGAGGGGGAUAACUACUGGAAACGGUAGCUAAUACCGCAUACCAUCAGAUGUGCCCAGAUGGGAUUAGCUUUGUGGUGGGGUCACGGGUCACCAAGGCGACGAUCCCUAGCUGGUCUGAGAGGAUUACCAGCCAAACGGGAACUGAGCCACGGUCCAAACUCCUACGGGAGGAAGCAGUGGGUAAUAUUGCACAAUGGGCGCAAGCCUGAGCCAGCCAUGCCGCGUGUAUGAAGAAGGCCUUCGGGUUGUAAAGUACUUUCAGCGGGGAGGCGUUACCCGCAGAAGAAGCACCGGCUAACUCCGGGCCAGCAGCCGCGGUAAUUC